Long non-coding RNA from Xenia sp. Carnegie-2017, 1561 nucleotides. RefSeq lists it as uncharacterized. NCBI's taxonomy places the organism in Eukaryota, Metazoa, Cnidaria, Anthozoa, Malacalcyonacea, Xeniidae. The record is from RefSeq and is a predicted model, not a curated record. The transcript has 2 exons.
GGAAGACGGGCAGCCAGCCUUUUAAAAGUAAGAUAGCUCAAAAAUUAAAGAUUUAUAAUUUAGGAAGUUAAAAAAAUCGAUAAACAGAGCUCUUCAGAAAUUCUCAGCGUUCCAACUUCGAAACGUUGUCAAUGAAGUUUUGUCAUUUUGUAAACUUUUGAUACGGAUAAAAAAAUAAUUUGAUCCGGGGCGUGAGAAGCAAGUAAAAGUUGGGGGGCUCAAGAUUUUAGGGGCAAUCUUUAUUUAAGAAGAGAAUAUCAGCGUAAUUAAUCUCGAAGUCUCUAAUUUAGAAUAAUGACAAAUGCAUAUCAAACUCAUCAACACUUUGUUACGCCACAUGUAAUUAAACUGUCAUUGUUGGAGAUGUUUUUAUUCUUCUCCACAACUUUGUGUCUGCAUAUUUUGUGCAUAAACAUUGCUGUAGUAUUUAUGACAGACAUUGUACUUCGUAGAUUGAGGUAGAAGAAAUACUUUAAAAUGAAACUUCCAAAAGUGACACAAAAUCAAGCGGCCAAGUUAAAGAUAGCUUGAUGAAAUUGAACCUAGUUCAUGUACCUAGCGUACGCUCGAGAGUUUUGGAUGAGGACUUGUUGACCAAUGAAAACACUCAUGAUUUCAAGCAUGUUGACGACGAUGAAAGCUCUAGCGAGGACGAGGCUCCAAUGCAAAAACAACCAUUAAUACUAAGGAGUCUACUGAAGAUAUGUUAAAAAGAAAUAUCGAUGAAUUACAUCUACAGUUUGGAAGCUAGUUGGCUCACAUGGACGAAGAAUCUGAUUUGAAAUUGAAGAGGAAGCUAUCACCAAAAGAGAUUUGCCAGAAAAUUCAAAGUUUACUCCCCAAGGUUUUUACAUGCAGAUGGAGUAUUGUGAGAAGAGUACUCUAAGGAAUGUUAUUGACGAGGAUAGUACAAGGACCAACAGAGAAUGUUGCGGCUUCUCUGGGAGAUUGUAGGAGGAUUAGUUCACCUUUAUUCACAGGUAGAAAAUUUCCAUUACUGUUGUAGCCAAUGUGGUUGUGCUACUGCUAGAAAUAAAGUUGAAGAUCACAUUCAACGUCUUAAAACAUUUAACCGUCCGCCUGUUGUGCAUACUUGUGGUCCUUUACUUGAAGUUUUAAGCACCUAUCAGCGCUACAAUGAAUUAGUUGAUGAGUUUCAUCCAUUUUUUACAAGAAAAGUUCAUGGACGUUUGAUAUUGUCUAGUGGGGACGUUAAAGUCAUAUCUUUGUAUCUAAAUAUUAUAUGACAUUGCAAUAUUGUAUUUGUUGUUUGUGGUGAAAUCCAUAAUAUACUGUGGAAACCAUUUAUUUACCAGCUGAUUGGUUAAUUAACUGUAUUAUGUAAAAAGUAUAAAUACCUGCUUUAGUUUAGCAUUCAGUCUGGAUAUUUUUUUGGCAACAACCAUGUAGGAUUUUUCAUCACUUCCUUAACAGUAUUGUAACGUAUAAGAGUGCUUGUAGUUUUGUUUUAAUAAUUCCCACUAAAGUAAUACUAUAUUGCUUCUUCCAUCUUGAGAAUGUAAGCUCGAAAUAUUAAACUGCCUGCAAAUUGUGAUGUAAA